RNAcentral lists this transfer RNA (73 nucleotides) under bioreactor metagenome. RNAcentral describes it as "tRNA-Arg". It matches the Rfam family "tRNA". From Rfam's summary of the family: Transfer RNA (tRNA) molecules are approximately 80 nucleotides in length. Their secondary structure includes four short double-helical elements and three loops (D, anti-codon, and T loops). The record is from RNAcentral.
ACCUUCGUAGUUUAAUGGAUAAAAUUUCUGAUUCCGGUUCAGAAGAUGGCAGUUCGAUUCUGCUCGAAGGUUC